This 164-nucleotide small nuclear RNA is filed under the name Castor canadensis (American beaver). Its description in RNAcentral is "U1 spliceosomal RNA (ENSCCNG00000009753.1)". It matches the Rfam family "U1 spliceosomal RNA". Rfam says of the family: U1 is a small nuclear RNA (snRNA) component of the spliceosome (involved in pre-mRNA splicing). Its 5' end forms complementary base pairs with the 5' splice junction, thus defining the 5' donor site of an intron. There are significant differences in sequence and secondary structure between metazoan and yeast U1 snRNAs, the latter being much longer (568 nucleotides as compared to 164 nucleotides in human). The record is from Rfam by way of RNAcentral. Lineage: Eukaryota; Metazoa; Chordata; Mammalia; Rodentia; Castoridae.
AUACUUACCUGGCAGGGGAGAUACCAUGAUCAUGAAGGUGGUUUUCCCAGAGUGAGGUUUAUCCAUUGCACUCCGGAUGUGAUGACCCUGCGAUUUCCCCAAAUGUGGGAAACCUCGACUGCAUAAUUUGUGGUAGUGGGGGACUGUGUUUGUGCUCUUCCCUG